RNAcentral lists this long non-coding RNA (353 nucleotides) under Brachypodium distachyon (stiff brome). RNAcentral's name for it is "long non-coding RNA (BDIS_LNC001931)". The record is from RNAcentral. Lineage: Eukaryota; Viridiplantae; Streptophyta; Magnoliopsida; Poales; Poaceae.
CGGGCGCGAGUGUAGGCACGGGGAGGCGUGCGCGGGAACGCGUGCAGGGACGUAGGCGCGCGAGCGCGGCGCUGCAGGGACUGGGCGCUUGGGCAUUCCAUUGAACGCCCGGAGGGCGCGGGCGGCAGCCCGCCCUAUCGUCCUCUUCCCUUUUUCUCCUUUGUUUUUUUUACGCGGGUGGGCCGAGGAGCGAGCGGGCCUGCGGCCCGUGGAGCGGCGGCCUCUUCUUUUUUGUUUUUGCGGCGCGGGACGGGGGCUUUGGUUCCAGGCCCGUGACCUUAUUUGGCUAAUCCUUGGCAGAUCUUUUUUUGUAGGUGAGAUGGCGGGACCCGACGUUGAGCGUCCAGUUGGUG